GUUGAAACAAUGGUUCUCGUCCGAUCGGCGAAGUUAAGCCACAUUGAGCCUGGUCAGUGCCUAGAUGGGUGACCACGCGUGAAUACCAGGUGAUGUAA
Non-coding RNA from Acanthosepion pharaonis, 98 nucleotides. Lineage: Eukaryota; Metazoa; Mollusca; Cephalopoda; Sepiida; Sepiidae. The record is from the annotation of a GenBank genome assembly.